AACACGUGGACAACCUACCCUCAGGUCGGGGAUAAACCCGGGAAACUGGGUAUAAUACCCGAUAGUGCUCGACUACUGGAAUGCAUCGAGUACUAAAGCUCCGGCGCCUAAGGAUGGGUCUGCGGCCUMUCAGGUAGUAGUGGGUGUAGCGUACCUACUAGCCUACGACGGGUACGGGUUGUGAGAGCAAGAGCCCGGAGAUGGAUUCUGAGACACGAAUCCAGGCCCUACGGGGUGCAGCAGGCGCGAAAACUUUCAAUGCUGGAAACAGCGAUAAGGGGACCUCGAGUGCCAGGUUACAAAUCUGGCUGUCGUGAUGCCUAAAAAGCAUUGCAUAGCAAGGGCCGGGCAAGACCGGUGCCAGCCGCCGCGGUAACACCGGCGGCUCGAGUGGUAACCGUUAUUAUUGGGUCUAAAGGGUCUGUAGCCGGCCGGAUAAGUCUCUUGGGAAAUCUGGCAGCUUAACUGUCAGGCUUUCAGGGGAUACUGUUGGCUCGAGGCCGGGAGAGGUGAGAGGUACUUCGGGGGUAGGGGUGAAAUCUUGUAAUCCUUGAAGGGCCACCAGUGGCGAAGGCGUCUCACCAGAACGGCCUGACGGCAAGGGACGAAAGCUAGGGGCACGAACCGGAUUAGAUACCCGGGUAGUCCUAGCCGUAAACGAUACUCGCUAGGUGUCGGCCAUCGGUGCGACCGUUGUCGGUGCCGUA
This 707-nucleotide ribosomal RNA is filed under the name uncultured Methanotrichaceae archaeon. Its description in RNAcentral is "bacterial SSU rRNA". It matches the Rfam family "Archaeal small subunit ribosomal RNA", at positions 95 to 805 of the family's 1478-position model. Lineage: Archaea; Methanobacteriati; Methanobacteriota; Methanomicrobia; Methanotrichales; Methanotrichaceae. The record is from RNAcentral.